Molecule: ribosomal RNA, 667 nt
Filed under: uncultured Pseudomonadota bacterium
Lineage: Bacteria; Pseudomonadati; Pseudomonadota
Description: bacterial SSU rRNA
Rfam family: Bacterial small subunit ribosomal RNA
Source: RNAcentral
AUGCAAGUCGAACGGUAACAGGAAGAAGCUUGCUUCUUUGCUGACGAGUGGCGGACGGGUGAGUAAUGUCUGGGAAACUGCCUGAUGGAGGGGGAUAACUACUGGAAACGGUAGCUAAUACCGCAUAACGUCGCAAGACCAAAGAGGGGGACCUUCGGGCCUCUUGCCAUCGGAUGUGCCCAGAUGGGAUUAGCUAGUAGGUGGGGUAACGGCUCACCUAGGCGACGAUCCCUAGCUGGUCUGAGAGGAUGACCAGCCACACUGGAACUGAGACACGGUCCAGACUCCUACGGGAGGCAGCAGUGGGGAAUAUUGCACAAUGGGCGCAAGCCUGAUGCAGCCAUGCCGCGUGUAUGAAGAAGGCCUUCGGGUUGUAAAGUACUUUCAGCGGGGAGGAAGGGAGUAAAGUUAAUACCUUUGCUCAUUGACGUUACCCGCAGAAGAAGCACCGGCUAACUCCGUGCCAGCAGCCGCGGUAAUACGGAGGGUGCAAGCGUUAAUCGGAAUUACUGGGCGUAAAGCGCACGCAGGCGGUUUGUUAAGUCAGAUGUGAAAUCCCCGGGCUCAACCUGGGAACUGCAUCUGAUACUGGCAAGCUUGAGUCUCGUAGAGGGGGGUAGAAUUCCAGGUGUAGCGGUGAAAUGCGUAGAGAUCUGGAGGAAUACCG